GAUGAACGCUGGCGGCGUGCCUAAUACAUGCAAGUCGAGCGAACGGACGAGAAGCUUGCUUUUCUGAUGUUAGCGGCGGACGGGUGAGUAACACGUGGAUAACCUACCUAUAAGACUGGGAUAACUUCGGGAAACCGGAGCUAAUACCGGAUAAUAUUUUGAACCGCAUGGUUCAAAAGUGAAAGACGGUCUUGCUGUCACUUAUAGAUGGAUCCGCGCUGCAUUAGCUAGUUGGUAAGGUAACGGCUUACCAAGGCAACGAUGCAUAGCCGACCUGAGAGGGUAUUCGCCCACCCGGGAAUGGAGACACGGCCCAACCCCCAAGGGGGGGCGGCGUGAGGAAUUCUGCCGAAUGGGCGGAAGCCCUGCCGAGCCACCGCGGCGGGGGGAAGAAGGGCUUCGGGUUCGAAAACUCUGUUAUUAGGGAAGAACAUAUGUGUAAGUAACUGUGCACAUCUUGACGGUACCUAAUCAGAAAGCCACGGCUAACUACGUG
RNAcentral lists this ribosomal RNA (496 nucleotides) under uncultured bacterium. RNAcentral describes it as "partial 16S ribosomal RNA". It matches the Rfam family "Bacterial small subunit ribosomal RNA", at positions 28 to 507 of the family's 1533-position model. The record is from RNAcentral.